Molecule: transfer RNA, 72 nt
Filed under: Anguilla anguilla (European eel)
Lineage: Eukaryota; Metazoa; Chordata; Actinopteri; Anguilliformes; Anguillidae
Description: tRNA-OTHER
Source: RNAcentral
GCUCAUAGCUCAGUGGUAAGACUGAUUGUUUGACAUAACGGAGGGUUGCCGGUUCAAACCCCGCCCUGGGCA